Molecule: ribosomal RNA, 468 nt
Filed under: uncultured bacterium
Lineage: Bacteria
Description: partial 16S ribosomal RNA
Rfam family: Bacterial small subunit ribosomal RNA
Source: RNAcentral
GACGAACGCUGGCGGCGUGCUUAACACAUGCAAGUCGAACGGAAAGGCCCUGCUUUUGUGGGUUGCUCGAGUGGCGAACGGGUGAGUAACACGUGAGUAACCUGCCCUUGACUUUGGGAUAACUUCAGGAAACUGGGGCUCAUACCGCAUAGGAGCUCCUGCUGCAUGUUGGUGGUUGGAAAGUUUCGGCGGUUGGGGAUGGACUCGCGGCUUCUCCGCUUGUUGGUGGAGUAGUGGCUUACCAAGGCUUUGACGGGUAGCCGGCCUGAGAGGGUGACCGGCCACAUUGGGACUGAGAUACGGCGCAGAAUGGUACGGGAGGCAGUAGGGGGGAAUAUGGCAGAAUGGGGGGAAGCCUGAGGCAGCAACGCUGCGUGCGGGAUGACGGCUUUCGGGUUGUAAACAGAUUUCGACGGUGACGAAGAGUGAGUGACGGUAAUGGGUAAAGAAGCAACGGCUAACUACGUG